UGCGGGAUCGUCUAAUGGUAGGACGCAGCUCUCUGGAAGCUGUUAUAUUGGUUCGAAUCCAGUUCCCGCAGC
Molecule: transfer RNA, 72 nt
Filed under: Parcubacteria group bacterium ADurb.Bin326
Lineage: Bacteria
Description: tRNA-Gln
Rfam family: tRNA
About the family: Transfer RNA (tRNA) molecules are approximately 80 nucleotides in length.
Source: RNAcentral